This 238-nucleotide long non-coding RNA is filed under the name Setaria italica (foxtail millet). Its description in RNAcentral is "long non-coding RNA (SITA_LNC006579)". Lineage: Eukaryota; Viridiplantae; Streptophyta; Magnoliopsida; Poales; Poaceae. The record is from RNAcentral.
AAGGAGAGAGGGAGGCGGCAACAGGAUGUGGAUAAGACAGGGAGAGGAGCGGACGAGGUAAAUUGUGUUGGGAUAAUUUUUCGAGUUCGGGGAAGCUCAUCACCGACGAUUCCUAUUAGGAGCUAGCGGUGAUACCACGUCGGUUCCUCUAAAACCGGCUGUGAUAGGCCGUGUGCGAUGGCUUGGUCUGCAGUAGCGAGGUACUUUAUUUUUGUUUUGGAGAACAAUGAUACAGUGG